CAGGCUUAACACAUGCAAGUCGAGGGGCAGCAUGGUCUUAGCUUGCUAAGGCCGAUGGCGACCGGCGCACGGGUGAGUAACACGUAUCCAACCUGCCGUCUACUCUUGGACAGCCUUCUGAAAGGAAGAUUAAUACAAGAUGGCAUCAUGAGUCCGCAUGUUCACAUGAUUAAAGGUAUUCCGGUAGACGAUGGGGAUGCGUUCCAUUAGAUAGUAGGCGGGGUAACGGCCCACCUAGUCUUCGAUGGAUAGGGGUUCUGAGAGGAAGGUCCCCCACAUUGGAACUGAGACACGGUCCAAACUCCUACGGGAGGCAGCAGUGAGGAAUAUUGGUCAAUGGGCGAGAGCCUGAACCAGCCAAGUAGCGUGAAGGAUGACUGCCCUAUGGGUUGUAAACUUCUUUUAUAAAGGAAUAAAGUCGGGUAUGGAUACCCGUUUGCAUGUACUUUAUGAAUAAGGAUCGGCUAACUCCGUGCCAGCAGCCGCGGUAAUACGGAGGAUCCGAGCGUUAUCCGGAUUUAUUGGGUUUAAAGGGAGCGUAGAUGGAUGUUUAAGUCAGUUGUGAAAGUUUGCGGCUCAACCGUAAAAUUGCAGUUGAUACUGGAUAUCUUGAGUGCAGUUGAGGCAGGCGGAAUUCGUGGUGUAGCGGUGAAAUGCUUAGAUAUCACGAAGAACUCCGAUUGCGAAGGCAGCCUGCUAAGCUGCAACUGACAUUGAGGCUCGAAAGUGUGGGUAUCAAACAGGAUUAGAUACCCUGGUAGUCCACACGGUAAACGAUGAAUACUCGCUGUUUGCGAUGUACGGCAAGCGGCCAAGCGAAAGCGUUAAGUAUUCCACCUGGGGAGUACGCCGGCAACGGUGAAACUCAAAGGAAUUGACGGGGGCCCGCACAAGCGGAGGAACAUGUGGUUUAAUUCGAUGAUACGCGAGGAACCUUACCCGGGCUUAAAUUGCAGAUGAAUUACGGUGAAAGCCGUAAGCCGCAAGGCAUCUGUGAAGGUGCUGCAUGGUUGUCGUCAGCUCGUGCCGUGAGGUGUCGGCUUAAGUGCCAUAACGAGCGCAACCCUUGUUGUCAGUUACUAACAGGUUCCGCUGAGGACUCUGACAAGACUGCCAUCGUAAGAUGUGAGGAAGGUGGGGAUGACGUCAAAUCAGCACGGCCCUUACGUCCGGGGCUACACACGUGUUACAAUGGGGGGUACAGAGGGCCGCUACCACGCGAGUGGAUGCCAAUCCCCAAAACCUCUCUCAGUUCGGACUGGAGUCUGCAACCCGACUCCACGAAGCUGGAUUCGCUAGUAAUCGCGCAUCAGCCACGGCGCGGUGAAUACGUUCCCGGGCCUUGUACACACCGCCCGUCAAGCCAUGGGAGCCGGGGGUACCUGAAGUGCGUAACCGCGAGGAGCGCCCUAGGGUAAAACUGGUGACUGGGGCUAAGU
This 1439-nucleotide ribosomal RNA is filed under the name uncultured organism. Its description in RNAcentral is "16S ribosomal RNA". It matches the Rfam family "Bacterial small subunit ribosomal RNA". The record is from RNAcentral.